GCCAGACGUGGUGACAUGUGCCUGUAGUACCAGCUACUUGGGAAGCUGAGACAGGAGGAUCACUUGAGUCCAGGAGUUCUGGGCUGAAGUGCGCUAUGCUGAUCUGCUGUCUGCACUAAGUUUGGCAUCAAUAUGGUGACUCCCAGUAAAAGGGGGCCACCAGUUGCCUUAGGAGGGGUGAACCAGCUUAGGUCGGAAAUGGAGCAGGUCAAAAUUCCUGUGCUGAUCAGUAGUGGGAUCGUGCCUGGGAAUAGCCAUUAUACUCCAGCCUGGGCAACAUAGUUGAGACCCUGUCUCUU
Molecule: non-coding RNA, 299 nt
Organism: Otolemur garnettii (small-eared galago)
Lineage: Eukaryota; Metazoa; Chordata; Mammalia; Primates; Galagidae
Source: Rfam